CAACGACCGUCUGACUGUGGGGUAGGGGCUGGGGCAGGGGCCUCCAGGUCGCCGUCCACUGGAGCACCCGAAAAGCCGGCCAACGUCCCGCUUGAGCAUGCACACUCCUCGCGCACUGCGGCGCCUGCAGCAGCUCAGCACCGGCCCUCCGCCCACCCGCCUCCCUGCACUGGGCUGCGGGGUCUGCAAGCCGACCCAGGGCAGGCUGGCUGGCCCGGGCCCCCACGCCCCCCCCGCCCGGCGGGUGGCCUGGCUCUGCACCCGCCGGGAAGAAGCCACGGCGGGUCGGGUCUGCAAGGUCUCCGUGUCCGCGAGCAUCCAGAGCUUGAUCGAAAAAUAAAAAAGGCACGCAAAGGGGCAAAGCACCGAGGACCACGCGACCUAGGCCGUCCGGGGGCUCCUCUCCAGCCGCCUGCUGCAGCUUACGUUCCUGGCAGCAUCUACAAGGAACAGCUGGCCGGAGGGCUCCCGAGCUGUCACCCCAGCGUCGUGCGCGGCCGCCUCGACUCCCAGCACUUCACAUCCCGCAGUGAGCGCCGACGGCCGACGAGCUCCGGGCCGGGUCCGGGCCGACAAGCUCCCGCCCGCGAGGAGCUGCCGGUGACGCACCCGCGCAGCCCGGGCCCCGCGACGCCGCUGGCAGAGGCACGGGCACGCGGCGGUUACCUGUCCGGCCGCGCGAUCCUCUUCCAGAGUCCCAAGUCCGGGUCAGGUCCGGGCCGCGCGGAGGAGGCGCCCCAUGGACGCCGGGGCUCGGCGCUCGCUCGCCGCGGGGCUGUGUGGCUCGCGCCCGCCGCCGCCGCCGCCGCCGCCGCCGCCGCCGCACUUGUCCCGGCGGCUGCUGUCACCGCUCCGCCCCCGCGGGCUCCGAGCGCGCUGCACCGGCCCGCUGCGAGGACUGCAGACUGCCAGUUCUCUUUUUCCCUUUCUGUUUUACCGCCGGCGGAGAACGGGGAUUUCCACCCGGGGACUUUCCAGUCACGUGACGCCCGGGCCGGCGCCGAGCCCCGCGGUCGCCGGCCGCCAGGGGGCGCAGGGGGCGCAGGGGGCGCGGGCGGCGCAGGAGGCCGGCGGCGCCCCGCCCCGCCCCGCCCCGCCCCGCCCCGCCCCCCCGCGCGAGAAACUCCUGAGCCCCGCCCCCGGGUGUCCCCGCGUGAGUCACCUGGGCAUUUCGGAAGCUGGCCCAACGUCACAUCCAUGUGGAAAUCGCGGUGA
RNAcentral lists this long non-coding RNA (1215 nucleotides) under Canis lupus familiaris (dog). RNAcentral's name for it is "lncRNA (ENSCAFG00030002981.1)". Lineage: Eukaryota; Metazoa; Chordata; Mammalia; Carnivora; Canidae. The record is from RNAcentral.